GACGAACGCUGGCGGCGUGCCUAAUACAUGCAAGUAGAACGCUGAAGGAAGGAGCUUGCUCUUUCUGGAUGAGUUGCGAACGGGUGAGUAACGCGUAGGUAACCUGCCUGGUAGCGGGGGAUAACUAUUGGAAACGAUAGCUAAUACCGCAUAAAAUUGAUUAUUGCAUGAUAGUCAAUUAAAAGGUGCAACUGCACCACUACCAGAUGGACCUGCGUUGUAUUAGCUAGUUGGUGGGGUAACGGCUCACCAAGGCGACGAUACAUAGCCGACCUGAGAGGGUGAUCGGCCACACUGGGACUGAGACACGGCCCAGACUCCUACGGGAGGCAGCAGUAGGGAAUCUUCGGCAAUGGACGGAAGUCUGACCGAGCAACGCCGCGGGAGUGAAGAAGGGUUUCGGAUCGGAAAGCUCGGUUGUAAGAGAAGAACGAGUGUGAGAGUGGAAAGUUCACACUGUGACGGUAUCUUACCAGAAAGGGACGGCUAACUACGUG
Molecule: ribosomal RNA, 497 nt
Filed under: uncultured bacterium
Lineage: Bacteria
Description: partial 16S ribosomal RNA
Rfam family: Bacterial small subunit ribosomal RNA
Source: RNAcentral